This 351-nucleotide ribosomal RNA is filed under the name uncultured Oscillospira sp. RNAcentral's name for it is "partial 16S ribosomal RNA". Lineage: Bacteria; Bacillati; Bacillota; Clostridia; Eubacteriales; Oscillospiraceae. The record is from RNAcentral.
GGAGUCUGGGCCGUAUCUCAGUCCCAAUGUGGCCGUUCAACCUCUCAGUCCGGCUACUGAUCGUCGCCUUGGUGGGCCGUUACCCCUCCAACUAGCUAAUCAGACGCGAGGCCAUCUCAGAGCGAUAAAUCUUUGGCAUCCAGACCAUGCGAUCCAAAUGCAUCAUGCGGUAUUAGCAGCCGUUUCCAGCUGUUGUCCCCCUCUCCAAGGCAGGUUCCUCACGCGUUACUCACCCGUCCGCCACUUUCCCCCGCUUCCAUUGACCGAAAUCUCUUUCCACGGGUUCUCGUUCGACUUGCAUGUGUUAAGCACGCCGCCAGCGUUCGUCCUCGAGCCACGGAUCAAACUACU